AGAGUUUGAUCCUGGCUCAGGAUGAACGCUAGCGGCAGGCUUAAUACAUGCAAGUCGUGGGGCAGCAGGUGUAGCAAUACAUGCUGGCGACCGGCAAACGGGUGCGGAACACGUACGCAACCUUCCUUUAAGUGGGGGAUAGCCCAGAGAAAUUUGGAUUAAUACCCCGUAAUAUUAUGAAGUGGCAUCACUUUAUAAUUAUAGCUUCGGCGCUUGAAGAUGGGCGUGCGGCUGAUUAGGUAGUUGGCGGGGUAACGGCCCACCAAGCCUUCGAUCAGUAACUGGUGUGAGAGCACGACCAGUCACACGGGCACUGAGACACGGGCCCGACUCCUACGGGAGGCAGCAGUAAGGAAUAUUGGUCAAUGGGCGAAAGCCUGAACCAGCCAUGCCGCGUGGAGGAUGAAGGCCCUCUGGGUUGUAAACUUCUUUUAUCUGGGAAGA
This 444-nucleotide ribosomal RNA is filed under the name uncultured bacterium. RNAcentral describes it as "bacterial SSU rRNA". It matches the Rfam family "Bacterial small subunit ribosomal RNA", at positions 8 to 448 of the family's 1533-position model. The record is from RNAcentral.